RNAcentral lists this small nuclear RNA (349 nucleotides) under Chinchilla lanigera (long-tailed chinchilla). Its description in RNAcentral is "7SK RNA (ENSCLAG00000021393.1)". It matches the Rfam family "7SK RNA". Rfam says of the family: 7SK was discovered as an abundant small nuclear RNA in the mid-70s but a possible function has only recently been suggested. Two independent studies have found that 7SK RNA binds the CDK9/cyclin T complex (known as elongation factor P-TEFb). The record is from RNAcentral. Lineage: Eukaryota; Metazoa; Chordata; Mammalia; Rodentia; Chinchillidae.
GGAUGUGAGGGCUAUCUGGCUGUGACAUCUGCCACCCCAUUGAUUGCCAGGAUUGAUUUGGCUGAUCUGGCUGGCUAGGGGAGUGUUCCUUCCCUCCCUCCUUCCCUCCCUCCCUCCAUGUGAGUCCCUCCCGAAGGUGUGGGCUCGGUCAAAGCUGGGGGCUCGGUUGAGCACCCCCAUAGAGGAGGACUGUUCUUCAGUCCAGGGCCUAUGAGUAGCUGCUCUCCCCUGCUAGAACCUCCAAGCAAGGUCUCUAGAAAUGCUUCUACUGCACAUGGCUUUUUCAUGUUCCUUGAUUAGUCAUAUACAUCAUAUAAAAUAAAGUUGAGGCUGCUCAUUUCAGAUUCUU